GCCCGCCCCCGCCGCCGCCAUUGGGCGGGCAGUGUGAGUGACGGACAGAGGGCGGGGCGCGGAGCUCCGGCCAUGGGCACGUGACUUGAUAGGCGCAAGGGCCGGGGGCAAGGUUGUCUGCAAGGACGGCCUCCGCGCUACGUGGGGAGUGGGGCUGGGGCGCGCAGAACGCCUGCACUUGUGGACUCUGGAGGCGUGUCGCUCCACGACCUGCCCCUGGGCAAGAUGCGGCGUCACUCCUUAAGAACGCUGAGCCACGAGCGCUGGUGCUCUCCAAAGCAGAAGGGUUCCGAGGCGCAGGUGCUGACUUUGGAACGCCGACCAACCCGAAGAUGUGAUUGGACAGAUCUGUCAACAUUCAUAGCGAGAACCAUUCCCUAAGAUUGGUUGAACGCCUGUCAGACCUUGUAGUGGCUGCUCAGGGCCUCCUGCCUUUUAAUUCUCCAAGUACACCUAAGCUUUAGGCAUUAUACCAGGCAUGCACUCACAGGAAGCCUGGUCAAUGGAGGGUCCAGGAAAGAAUGAGAGAUUCUGGAGAACAGAAGUGCUGCAGGGUUAGCAGUAGGGGGGGGGAGGAGAACAUAAAGGAUGGGUGGCUUUUCUCGUGGAAGUGCUAGAGGUAGAGGGGAAAAGUAGGAUCUGUGGAAUGGUGAUGGCGAGGAAAGAUU
Panthera uncia (snow leopard) is the source of this 668-nucleotide long non-coding RNA. RefSeq lists it as uncharacterized. The transcript is spliced from 2 exons. The record is from RefSeq and is a predicted model, not a curated record. NCBI's taxonomy places the organism in Eukaryota, Metazoa, Chordata, Mammalia, Carnivora, Felidae.